RNAcentral lists this ribosomal RNA (1166 nucleotides) under Salmonella enterica subsp. enterica serovar Newport. RNAcentral describes it as "partial 23S ribosomal RNA". It matches the Rfam family "Bacterial large subunit ribosomal RNA", at positions 1171 to 2238 of the family's 2925-position model. Lineage: Bacteria; Pseudomonadati; Pseudomonadota; Gammaproteobacteria; Enterobacterales; Enterobacteriaceae. The record is from RNAcentral.
UGUAACGGGGCUAAACCAUGCACCGAAGCUGCGGCAGCGAACGUAUCACUUAAAGCGAUUCAGCGGGUUACGAUUGACGGAGCGAAGCGACGUCAAAGCGUAUACAAAGUCGAGUCGGUUUAAGGAUACGUUCGUUGGGUAGGGGAGCGUUCUGUAAGCCUGUGAAGGUGGCCUGUGAGGGUUGCUGGAGGUAUCAGAAGUGCGAAUGCUGACAUAAGUAACGAUAAAGCGGGUGAAAAGCCCGCUCGCCGGAAGACCAAGGGUUCCUGUCCAACGUUAAUCGGGGCAGGGUGAGUCGACCCCUAAGGCGAGGCCGAAAGGCGUAGUCGAUGGGAAACGGGUUAAUAUUCCCGUACUUGGUGUUACUGCGAAGGGGGGACGGAGAAGGCUAUGUUGGCCGGGCGACGGUUGUCCCGGUUUAAGCGUGUAGGUGUGUGUUCCAGGUAAAUCCGGUUCACUUUAACACUGAGGCGUGAUGACGAGGCACUACGGUGCUGAAGCAACAAAUGCCCUGCUUCCAGGAAAAGCCUCUAAGCAUCAGGUAACAUCAAAUCGUACCCCAAACCGACACAGGUGGUCAGGUAGAGAAUACCAAGGCGCUUGAGAGAACUCGGGUGAAGGAACUAGGCAAAAUGGUGCCGUAACUUCGGGAGAAGGCACGCUGACACGUAGGUGAAGUGAUUUACUCACGGAGCUGAAGUCAGUCGAAGAUACCAGCUGGCUGCAACUGUUUAUUAAAAACACAGCACUGUGCAAACACGAAAGUGGACGUAUACGGUGUGACGCCUGCCCGGUGCCGGAAGGUUAAUUGAUGGGGUCAGCGCAAGCGAAGCUCCUGAUCGAAGCCCCGGUAAACGGCGGCCGUAACUAUAACGGUCCUAAGGUAGCGAAAUUCCUUGUCGGGUAAGUUCCGACCUGCACGAAUGGCGUAAUGAUGGCCAGGCUGUCUCCACCCGAGACUCAGUGAAAUUGAACUCGCUGUGAAGAUGCAGUGUACCCGCGGCAAGACGGAAAGACCCCGUGAACCUUUACUAUAGCUUGACACUGAACAUUGAGCCUUGAUGUGUAGGAUAGGUGGGAGGCUUUGAAGCGUGGACGCCAGUCUGCGUGGAGCCGACCUUGAAAUACCACCCUUUAAUGUUUGAUGUUCUAACGUGGACCCGUUA